GCUGGGUGUGGGUGGGAGAUCCUCUAAUUUCUUCUCCCAGAGAAGCUGAGACUGGUGGAUCACUUGAUCUCAAGAGUCCUGAGAUACAAAUGGUAGGUUAAACCAACUGGAGUUCUGCAGUAAAUUAGGCCUUAAUAUGGUGAGCUCCUGGAGGUGUGGCUGGGGGAAGGUCCAUCGGGUUGUCUAAGGAGGAAUGACCUGACCCAGGUCAGAAAUGGAGUAGGCCAAAGUUUCCAUGCUGAUCAGAGUGGGUCCAUGCCAUGAGUAGCACCUGUACUUCCAGGCUGAAAGAGCUAGGGAGACCUAAUCUUUA
Molecule: signal recognition particle RNA, 313 nt
Filed under: Vombatus ursinus (common wombat)
Lineage: Eukaryota; Metazoa; Chordata; Mammalia; Diprotodontia; Vombatidae
Description: Metazoan signal recognition particle RNA (ENSVURG00010007962.1)
Rfam family: Metazoan signal recognition particle RNA
About the family: The signal recognition particle (SRP) is a universally conserved ribonucleoprotein. It is involved in the co-translational targeting of proteins to membranes. The eukaryotic SRP consists of a 300-nucleotide 7S RNA and six proteins: SRPs 72, 68, 54, 19, 14, and 9.
Source: Rfam by way of RNAcentral